GGGGGGGGGGGGGGUUGUUCAGCUACUAGAUCUGUUGAAAUGGGAUUUUACUAAACGAAUCAUCGAGGUGUAUUAGAAUGAACAUAUUUUGUAUGGGAUUACAUUGAGACUGUUGCAUUUUCAGCAAACUGUUUUUGUUGUUGUAAUGUUGAUUUGAUCUCUAGACAGUGACACCUUCCCCAGGGCUGGCUACGCGUGCAGCAGAAAUGGGCUGUUCCUCUUCUUUUUCUUCUCAUUAUCUCACCAUUGAAACGGUGUUUCCAGCUCAUUUACCUUUUAGUAUGGUUAUGUGCACUCCCCUGCGGAUUUAUUUGGACGUUGAAGCUAAAAUGUUUCAUUUGGCUCUAUACUCCAUUUUGGAUUUGAGAGCAAAUGUGUUAUGAGGCGACAGUACAGAAUGUCACCUUUUAUUUGGGUGUAUUUUCAUACAUCUGUUUUGAGGUUUAAGAAAUGAAUGCUCUUUAUGUACAAUAUCUAGUCCCCUUCCCAUUUGAAGGUGGAUAAGUAUUUGGACAAAUUCACUUGUAGUGUAUUAAAUUGAGUCGAAAACGUUUAGUAUUUGGUCUCAUAUUCAUACAGUAGCACGCAAUGACUAUAUCAAGCUUGUGACUACACACUUGUUGGAUGCAUUUGCAAUUGGUUUUGGUUGUGUUUCGGAUUAUGUUGUGCCCAGUAGAAAUGAAUGGUAAAUAAUGUGUUGUCACUUUCAUUGUAAAUAUGAGUAGAAGGUUAGCAUUUUUGGGGGGUAUGACAUGUAUGCCUUUAACUUUCUCACUCAUCAUUAUUCACGAUUCAUUCAUGAUUGUCCGUAAACAUGGUAGGAUCCAAGUGUUGAGAUAAUAUUAUAUUUCGAAUUACAAUAAACGUGACUCCAAAAUGACAGAAUACAUUAUUUAGCAUCCGUUUCUAGUGGGCAGAACAUAAUCCGAAACACAACCAAAACAAACUGCAAAUGCAUCCAGCAAGUUUGUAGAGUCGCAGGCUUGAUGUAAACAUUGCAUGCUAGGAAUAUGGGACCAAAUCCAAAAUGAUUGACUACAUGUAAUGCACUAAGUGAAUUGUCCAAAUGCUUAUGACUCCUUUAAAUGGGGGGACUAGAUGCAUAAAUUGCAUUCAUUUCUAAACAGUUAAACGUAUGAAAAUACCCUCAAAUAAAAGGUGGCAUUCUAUACUGUAGUGUGAUAUAAACAUUUGAUCUCAAAUCCAAAAUGCUGGAGUAUAAAGACAAAUUAGAAGUUUUGCCUUCCCUGUCCAAAUCAAUAUCUAUGGGAAUGUGUUGUUUAUUAUGUAUCAAUGCCAAAGGUAUGUGUUUUACAGGAGUCUGAGGGACAUUUUACAAGGUAAACAUUGCCUUAUAACGAACAGACUAGUAGUCCAUACCAAAACCAAAGCUUACUGUACCUCUCAGGUCUCCGUAGGUGAUUUGAGCAGGGCUCCCUACUGUGCCAGUGAUUAGUGACUUUCUGGAUGUGAUUGGGAGUAUUCUUUUUAGCUGGUGAGCUAGAUUUCACAAAGAAAUGGUAGAAAAUGUGCAAACUCUGCCUACUCGUUACCCCGGGCAAACUAAAUGAAUGCAGCCAUUGUGAGCGAUUCUCUGUGAAGGAGAAGGACCUGCUUUUUAACCACUGUUGUAAAUAUGUUUUUUUUGUUGUGCUUUUUUUCCCCAAGAUGCACGAACCAAGAUUGAGCUCUUUUAAUACAAGUAUGUUGGUGGUGUGGAUGAAAAUAUUGAGAGUUUGUCAAUGGUUGACCUUGGAAAUGGAGGGAAAUGGAUUACCUGGACUAUUUCAACGAUGAUCACAGAGCACCUCCAAGAUGGGACAGAAGGGCAGUUAACCCACUGAAUGAUUUUGAUCAAAUCAAUUUCUGUGACCAUUUCCAUAUGUACAAAGAAAAUGCAGCUGAUAUUUGUUUACUUGAGCAAGACUUUCAUCUGACUCUUUGGGGAAGGCCCUUCCCUACAAGUACUGACCACCAUGAGGUUUUUGGCAUCUGGAACCUUCCAUCGUGAAACAGGACAUUUGUGUUGUGUAAGUGAACCAACUAUUCAGAAUAGCCCACAAAGUCUGCAAUGCUACAGUGUAUGUGAACUGAAAGACAGUUACAUCAAGUUCCCCGAUACUGCUGCCCAAGCCAACUACAAGGUAGAGUCCUAUAAAUAUUGGCUGUAAAGAUGGAUGUCAUUUUCCCAUCAAGUGUCCCUCUACAGCAGAUUCUGAGGUGUACAGGAAUCUUAAAAACUGGUUUUCAAUAACAUGUACAAAGUGUGUGCACUCCCAAUUUGAAGUUCUCCAACGUUGUUGCACGUUGGAAAGGUGCAACGCAUGACUCAAGGAUUUUCCAAAACUCCUCUGUAAGCUCAGUUUGAAGGAGGACAACAUACAGUAGUGGAAUCAUACUUGGUGACAGUGGGUGUGCACAGACCAACUUGUUCACCCCCUAUCUUCAUCCAAUAGAACCUGAGCAAUAACCGUACAACCAAACUCAUAUCUACACCAGAGGUGUAGUGGAGCGCAUGUUUGGCGUAUGGAAGAGUCGUUUCUAGUGUCUCAGCAACACAUUGCGCUUUCAACCUAGAAGAUGCUGCAUUACCUUAAUUGCAACAGCUUCACAAUUACCUCAAACCGCAUGGCUUUCCAGAUCAUUGCAUCGAAGAUGAGGAUGAUGCAGAUGUUCCCAUGGAAAAGCCAGCAGAAAUGGAUAAGCCUGCAGAGAUGCUUUUGCUGUUCAGCACUUCUCACAAAGAUGGCUCAGGUGAUUGAAACAAACAAUAGCCAUGGAUUGAAAACAAACCAAAAGAAAUUCACAAAUGGAAAUAUCGGGACCCCGAACUGGUGCUGUUUGGAGAAGAACAUUGGUACUGCUGCUGCUUCAUGUUUCUCUCCUCCAUAGUCAACUCAACAUGAAGGAUUUGCGUCUUCAUAUCGUGCUCUUUUAAAUACGUUGGUCUGAGCUCAUUACAUUCCGUGGCCAGUUUCUCAUGCAUGCUCAGCCUCUUUUUCUUUGCCCUCCGGCCCGGGUUAGUGACACGAUCCUCUGUCCUAGCUGCUGCAGAUGUAGUUGGCUGACCAUCCUGUUAUGACAAGUCCCAUCCAAGCUACGGUGGUCAUCUGCCUUUAGAAAAUGAUUACAUUGCUGCAUUGGAGAACAUUAUUUCUUCAAGAGUUAAGUUCAUUACAACAUUUUUAGUAUGGGAGUGCAAGAGAUGUCUGACAACAUUACAUAUUCCUGGGAUGGCACGUGUUGAAUGAAUGUGUCCUACCAAAUGAGGAUUGGAACAUAUGGUCAUCAUCAGGAAUACCUUCCAGGGGCUACUGGCUAUCAAUGAUCCCGGUCAACAAGUCUUUCAGCUCAUGUUUGGUCUUACCAGUCUUGAAACGCUCCCUACAAGCAACAGCAUUUGAUUUUUAUGUUUUUCCACAGGACCUUUAGAAAGACGACAAUAUAGAAAUUAUAUUAGUAUGUAUGAUAUUGUUUGUGUUACAUUUCUGUCCAAAAAUACAUUUAGGUUGUUACACACAAACUAACAUUUCAAAGUGACUCUGAUUUGUAAAAGUGAGUCAACAAUUAACACAGUAUCUUACCUGAAGUUGUUUUGUACUUUACUUUUCAUUUGAGUAGAAUUCAUUACAAAUGGUGGUCUUGUUUUUCUUUCCUUGUGUUCUGUUGAUGAAUCAUGCUGUUUGCUCUCGAUAAUUGGGUGGUUUGACACAAUUUGCUUCAAGAGGGUUUUUUCAAAGUUACUGAAAUUCUUUGAAACUUCCAUUCUUUUGUUUAAGUGACUUGCUGCAAUUCCACACGAUGCUUAUGUAUUAGUGUCCUAUCCCUGGUUUUUGAAACAUCCUAAUGUCAGCAGAAAGUCUACAUCGUUAAUCUAAUCAGGCUUCACAAAGAUGAACCGGUUAGUCCUUACUUACCUUGGUCUGGUACUCUACUGUAGUUAGAAACUAAGAAAUACUUUUUUUAAAUCUGGAUUAAUUUAAGUAGAAUUAGCCUAGUCCUGAUUUAAAUUAAACUCUGUCCGCAAAACCGCUCCUAUAAAUACUUUAUAAAUGUUUCGAGUGACCAGUGUAAUUUCUCACAAAAAGAUGGACAUGUCAUUCUACCAGCAAUACCUGAUGCUCCUUAAGGUCUCAAAAUAGCCUAGAACAUUUCAAUGGUAAAAGAAUAAGCACACAACACAAGAUGGUAAUUAUGAAUAAACUAUUUACUAAUCCAUUCUCAAACCUUUAUUAUACAAUUUCUUUUAUUAUAUCUGCCCCAUGGCAAAAUGUGUAGAAUUACAGGAAAUAGCUUUAAAUGAGCACAUUUUUCACUCAACCUCAAGGCAAAAUGUGUGAAAUAGCAUUAGAUUAGCUAUAAAACUUCACAUUUUUCUCUGUACUGUGGCAAAUGUGUAGAAUUGCAGGAAGUUACUGGAGGUACCCCAAGCCUCAGAUGUGGUAGUCCGGCCCUGUCACCGGGGGGUGUGUGGUACAGGGUCUACACCCUGCGCUACCACAGGACCAGGGAUGGGGGUAGGGCCACAAUACAUCUGAACUCAUCAUGAGGGGGCCGCAGUUGGUCUCGGGCCUCGCUGCCAGUAACUCCACCAUGACUACUGUUUCGAUAUCUGGCCGCUAGAUUAAUUUACCAAUUAAAAAAAAAUGGUAGCUGACAUGGGCUACCACAUAACAAGAGAAAAACUGCUGAUGCACUACCACAUGUAAAAAGUAUUUGACUAUUCUAACUCGCAACAGUUGCCCGUCCCUGCACUAGACCAUUGAAAUCAAUGCUGUAUACCUGCAUACUAUAUUGUGUCAUAUGUCAAGGUUCUUUGACCUGCAUAGGCGUUAAACAGAGAGAGAGGGAGUAUGAUCUUUGGCUGCUGGUAGUAACUAUGGCUGCCAAUCCUGCAUUUCAGCUGUGCUGUAUAACCUGCAUUUGUGAUUGAUUGUGUCCUGCUGGCACGCCCUGACCUUAGAGAGACGUUUUAUUUCUCUAUUUGGUUAGGUCAGGGUGGGCAUUCUAUGUUUUGUGUUUCUAUGUAUUGGCCGGGUAUGGUUCUCAAUUAGGGACAGCUGUCUAUCGUUGUCUCUGAUUAGGAAUCAUACUUAGGCAGCCUGUUUUGCCACCUUAGGUUGUGGGAUGUUGUUUUUUGUUAGCUCUGAGAAGCCUUCAGAAUGUGACGUUCGGUAUUCUUUUGUUGUUUUGUUUGGUGUUCUGUGUAAAUAAAGUAUCAUGAAAACAUA
Long non-coding RNA from Salvelinus fontinalis (brook trout), 5231 nucleotides. RefSeq lists it as uncharacterized. The record is from RefSeq and is a predicted model, not a curated record. Lineage: Eukaryota; Metazoa; Chordata; Actinopteri; Salmoniformes; Salmonidae. The transcript is spliced from 2 exons.